RNAcentral lists this ribosomal RNA (253 nucleotides) under uncultured bacterium. RNAcentral's name for it is "partial 16S ribosomal RNA". It matches the Rfam family "Bacterial small subunit ribosomal RNA", at positions 524 to 776 of the family's 1533-position model. The record is from RNAcentral.
UACGUAGGGUGCAAGCGUUAAUCGGAAUUAUUGGGCGUAAAGCGUGCGUAGGCGGCUUUGUAAGACAGAUGUGAAAUCCCCGGGCUUAACCUGGGAACUGCAUUUGUGACUGCAUGGCUAGAGUGCGGCAGAGGGGGCUGGAAUUCCGCGUGUAGCAGUGAAAUGCGUAGAUAUGCGGAGGAACACCGAUGGCGAAGGCAAUCCCCUGGGCCUGCACUGACGCUCAGGCACGAAGGUCAGGGGAGCAAACGGG